GCGUUGUCCGGAAUCAUUGGGCGUAAAGCGCGUGUAGGCGGCUGAGUAAGUCUGCUCUGAAAGCCCGGGGCUCAACCCUGGGAGGCGGGUGGAUACUGCUCAGCUCGAGUCCGGAAGAGGAGUGUGGAAUUCCUGGUGUAGCGGUGAAAUGCGCAGAUAUCAGGAGGAACACCAACGGCGAAGGCAGCACUCUGGGACGGUACUGACGCUGAGACGCGAAAGCGUG
RNAcentral lists this ribosomal RNA (226 nucleotides) under uncultured bacterium. RNAcentral's name for it is "partial 16S ribosomal RNA". It matches the Rfam family "Bacterial small subunit ribosomal RNA", at positions 538 to 763 of the family's 1533-position model. The record is from RNAcentral.